GACGAACGCUGGCGGCGUGCCUAAUACAUGCAAGUCGAGCGGACUGAUUAAGAGCUUGCUCUUAUGACGUUAGCGGCGGACGGGUGAGUAACACGUGGGCAACCUGCCCUGUAGAUCGGGUUAACACCGAGAAAUCGGUGCUAAUACCGGGUAAUAUCUGAGAUCACAUGAUCUUAGGUUAAAAGAUGGCUCCGGCUAUCACUACAGGAUGGGCCCGCGGCGCAUUAGCUAGUUGGUAAGGUAAUGGCUUACCAAGGCGACGAUACGUAGCCGACCUGAGAGGGUGAUCGGCCACACUGGGACUGAGACACGGCCCAGACUCCUACGGGAGGCAGCAGUAGGGAAUCUUCCGCAAUGGACGAAAGUCUGACGGAGCAACGCCGCGUGAGUGAUGAAGGGUUUCGGCUCGUAAAGCUCUGUUGUUAGGGAAGAAACAGUACCGAACGAACUAGGUCGGUACCUUGACGGUACCUAACCAGAAAGCCACGGCUAACUACGUG
RNAcentral lists this ribosomal RNA (500 nucleotides) under uncultured bacterium. RNAcentral describes it as "partial 16S ribosomal RNA". It matches the Rfam family "Bacterial small subunit ribosomal RNA", at positions 28 to 507 of the family's 1533-position model. The record is from RNAcentral.